RNAcentral lists this ribosomal RNA (253 nucleotides) under uncultured bacterium. Its description in RNAcentral is "partial 16S ribosomal RNA". It matches the Rfam family "Bacterial small subunit ribosomal RNA", at positions 524 to 776 of the family's 1533-position model. The record is from RNAcentral.
UACAGAGGGUGCAAGCGUUAAUCGGAAUUACUGGGCGUAAAGCGCGCGUAGGUGGUUCGUUAAGUUGGAUGUGAAAUCCCCGGGCUCAACCUGGGAACUGCAUCCAAAACUGGCGAGCUAGAGUACGGUAGAGGGUGGUGGAAUUUCCUGUGUAGCGGUGAAAUGCGUAGAUAUAGGAAGGAACACCAGUGGCGAAGGCGACCACCUGGACUGAUACUGACACUGAGGUGCGAAAGCGUGGGGAGCGAACAGG